AAAUUUUUUUUAAAAAAAACUGUAAAGCUGGGUUUUUCGACAGAAAAGUUUGAGGUCUGCCAAUUGCCCAGCAGCCUGAAAAUCAGGGGAUAUUUCAGAUCACUGUCAGGCUUGGCGGUGCAUCCCUGUCUUUUCCCAUCCCUGCGGCGCUCGCCAGCAGUCCGCUGCCUUUCUGGGGACACAGGUAGCCUCUCCGCCUGGGACAGCCUGCACGUCCCGGGAUGUAGUUUUCCACUCCUCGCCUUCCGGAGCCGCAGAGGGGCUCCCAAGUUAGGAAACAAGGAUUUCCACUGUGCAGGGAAAAGGCAUUCCGCGCAGCGGCUCCCCCCUUGCCCCUUCCUUCCCAUCCCUUCCCACCCCCUCUCCCGCCCCCCCACUUUGCGUGGGGAGGACAAACCUGGAACAGCCCGGCGCCUUUUGCUUCUAAGGGGCGGGGUGGGGGGGGGACCCGCUGCUUACUUGGAAUGCAAAGGGUUAACGCGGCCCGGGCUCCCCGCUCCCGAGCGCCGGGACCCCCGGGAAGGAGGGUCCUUCGCCACCUCCUCGCAGCUACCGGCCUCGCUCGGCCACUCCCACUUCCCCGGGCUUCCCCUCCUUUGCACUCUCCGGACCCCCAGAAAGCGUCAGGCUGGGUCCGCGCGGGCUCAGCCGGGCUCCGGAAGCCGCGCUCGGGCGGGGGUCCCGGGGUCCCGGGGUCGCGGGGCAGGGCGUGCGUGGGGCCCGCGGGCGGCGGCACGGUCCCGGGAGCCGGCUCCGACGUGGCACCGAGCACGCUGGCGCUUCUCCCCGCGGGGGCGGCGCGGGGCCCGGCGGGCGGGGGGCUCGGGGUGCAGCCGCGGCGCGCGGCCCGGAGCUGGGAGCAGGGGCGCGGCGGGAGGCGAGCCGGAGGCUGGGUCGGGAUGGGGACCGUCUACACCCCGGGCGGAGUGCGUCAGGCCGCCGGGCGGGAGCGAGGGCUCGGAUCCCGGUCCCCGUGAAGGGGGGCGGGGGGUGAAAGGAGGGUCUGUGCGGGCGCGGCGGCGGGGAGCCUGCCCCUGCGGCGGGGACACUCCAAGGAGGAUUCAGGCUGGAAAGCGGGGCAGGGAGCGGGGGGCGGAGCUGGGAGGGCUCCCGAGCCCCGGGUCCUAUUACACCCGCUUGGGUCCAGCGCCUCGCCCUCCAGCCCCCAAACCCCCCCGCGGAGGAGGGGACCCCGCGCCCCGCGCGCCCCCGGGGAGCGAGCCGCGGCCGCCGUGCCCCUGGGUGCGCAUCGGAGCCCGCGCCCCCUCCCUGCCCACGUCCCCGGCCUGGGCACCGCCGCCGCCCGGCGUCUCCCGAGCGGCCGCCCAGCUACGCCGCGCUCCAACCCACGUGGCUGGCCAGGGAUUGCCUUUGACGUCACGCCCUGGGGGGAGGUGUGACGCAAUAGGUCGGGGAGCCCUGAUUGGCCCCGAAGGGCUUCCCCGAGCUGGAGGCCUGAGUAUAUAUAGACUCUCAGCUCUGGGUUAG
This 1488-nucleotide long non-coding RNA is filed under the name Canis lupus familiaris (dog). RNAcentral's name for it is "lncRNA (ENSCAFG00040011984.1)". Lineage: Eukaryota; Metazoa; Chordata; Mammalia; Carnivora; Canidae. The record is from RNAcentral.